GGAGGGUGCGAGCGUUAAUCGGAAUUACUGGGCGUAAAGCGUGCGUAGGUGGUUCGUUAAGUCCGCUGUGAAAGCCCCGAGCUCAACUUGGGAAUUGCAGUGGAUACUGGCGAGCUGGAGUGCGUUAGAGGAAGGUGCAAUUCCCGGUGUAGCGGUGAAAUGCGUACAGAUCGGGAGGAACACCAGUGGCGAAGGCGGCCUUCUGGACCAGCACUGACACUCAAGCACGAAAGCGUGGGGAGCAAACAGGAUUAGAUACCCUGGUAGUCCACGCCCUAAACGAUGCGAACUGGAUGUUGGGCACACUACGGUGCUCAGUGUCGAAGCUAACGCGUUAAGUUCGCCGCCUGGGGAGUACGGUCGCAAGACUG
This 371-nucleotide ribosomal RNA is filed under the name uncultured bacterium. RNAcentral describes it as "bacterial SSU rRNA". It matches the Rfam family "Bacterial small subunit ribosomal RNA", at positions 527 to 896 of the family's 1533-position model. The record is from RNAcentral.